AAGUCGUAACAAGGUUUCCGUAGGUGAACCUGCGGAAGGAUCAUUACAAAAUAUUUUCCAAACGAGAAAAACCUCCCAGUGGAUGGGGGAGUGUCCGGGCCUAAAAAUCCGAACCUCUCUUUCCCUGGGUUGGGAGAAGGGGGAAGUCUAGGCUUAACAGCUUACGAUUUCCCGUCCACUCCAACCCCAUAUAAACUCCUUGUGCUUUGUUGUUGACCUCUGGGUCUUUCACAUAUUGCACAAUUUGAUACCCUUUGGGUAUUCACCUUUUUGUAUUUUUGAUUAGAAAUGAAAAAAGAAGGGCAAAAACGGCCUGUUUUUGAAUUUUUCAUUCUAACAGUUGUUAUUGCUCUUUUUUAAUAAUCUAAAUAAAACUUUCAACAACGGAUCUCUUGGCUCUC
RNAcentral lists this unclassified non-coding RNA (401 nucleotides) under fungal sp. Its description in RNAcentral is "partial internal transcribed spacer region". The stretch from base 1 to 46 matches the Rfam family "Eukaryotic small subunit ribosomal RNA", at positions 1786 to 1831 of the family's 1831-position model. Lineage: Eukaryota; Fungi. The record is from RNAcentral.